GAUGAACGCUGGCGGCGUGCCUAAUACAUGCAAGUAGAACGCUGAAGGAGGAGCUUGCUCUUCUGGAUGAGUUGCGAACGGGUGAGUAACGCGUAGGUAACCUGCCUGGUAGCGGGGGAUAACUAUUGGAAACGAUAGCUAAUACCGCAUGACAACAGUUAUUGCAUGAUAACUGUUUAAAAGGGGCAACUGCUCCACUACCAGAUGGACCUGCGUUGUAUUAGCUAGUUGGUGAGGUAACGGCACACCAAGGCGGCGAUCCAUAGCCGACCUGAGAGGGUGAUCGGCCACACUGGGACUGAGACACGGCCCAGACUCCUGCGGGAGGCAGCAGUAGGGAAUCUUCGGCAAUUGGCCGAAGUCUGACCCCACCACUCCGCGUGAGGGAAGAAGGGUUUCGGAUCGUAAAGCUCUGUUGUAAGAGAAGAACGAGUGUGAGAUUGGAAACUUCACACUGUGACGGUAUCUUACCAGAAAGGGACGGCUAACUACGUG
RNAcentral lists this ribosomal RNA (495 nucleotides) under uncultured bacterium. RNAcentral's name for it is "partial 16S ribosomal RNA". It matches the Rfam family "Bacterial small subunit ribosomal RNA", at positions 28 to 507 of the family's 1533-position model. The record is from RNAcentral.